CGGGGACAUAGCAGCCUCCCCAUCAGACGCCUCAGCGUCCAAGGCCUGC
This 49-nucleotide non-coding RNA is filed under the name unclassified sequences. Its description in RNAcentral is "chromate-resist RNA". It matches the Rfam family "chrB-b RNA". The record is from RNAcentral.